Molecule: microRNA precursor, 68 nt
Filed under: Callithrix jacchus (white-tufted-ear marmoset)
Lineage: Eukaryota; Metazoa; Chordata; Mammalia; Primates; Cebidae
Description: mir-1285 microRNA precursor family
Rfam family: mir-1285 microRNA precursor family
Source: Rfam by way of RNAcentral
AUAGGGUCUCAGUUUGUUUCCCAGGCUGGUCUCAAACUCCUGGUGUGGGCACCAAAGUGAGACCCUAU